CCCGUGCCGGGGUUGGGCUGCGCGGCGGGCGCUCGCGGGCUCUGCGCGAUUGGAAUAUGGUUGGGGAAAUGGAAACCAAGGAGAAGCCGAAGCCGAGCCCCGAUUAUCUGAUGCAGCUGAUGAACGACAAGAAGCUGAUGAGCAGCCUCCCUAACUUCUGCGGGAUCUUCAACCACCUCGAGCGGCUGCUGGACGAAGAAAUUAGCAGAGUACGAAAAGACAUGUAUAACGACACAUUAAAUGGAAGUACGGAAAAGAGAAGUGCAGAAUUACCAGAUGCUGUGGGACCUAUUGUACAGUUACAAGAGAAACUAUAUGUGCCUGUAAAAGAAUAUCCAGAUUUUAAUUUUGUGGGAAGAAUCCUUGGUCCCAGAGGACUAACAGCUAAACAGCUAGAAGCAGAAACUGGAUGCAAAAUAAUGGUCCGAGGAAAGGGCUCAAUGAGGGACAAAAAGAAGGUCUCCUUUAAGAGCAGAGGCAACCUUGAUCCAGCAGUUUUGGAGGUAGAGGAGGAACAAAACAGAGGCAAACCUAACUGGGAACACCUGAAUGAAGAUUUACAUGUACUAAUCACUGUGGAAGAUGCUCAAAACAGAGCAGAAAUCAAAUUGAAGAGGGCUGUUGAAGAAGUGAAAAAGUUACUCGUACCUGCAGCAGAAGGAGAAGACAGCCUUAAAAAGAUGCAACUAAUGGAACUUGCAAUUCUGAAUGGCACCUACAGAGACGCCAACAUCAAAUCACCAGCCCUUGCCUUUUCUCUUGCAGCGACAGCCCAGGCUCCAAGGAUUAUUACUGGGCCUGCGCCUGUUCUCCCACCAGCUGCCCUGCGUACUCCUACGCCAGCUGGCCCUACCAUAAUGCCUUUGAUCAGACAGAUACAGACCGCUGUCAUGCCAAACGGAACUCCUCAUCCAACUGCUGCAAUAGUUCCUCCAGGACCUGAAGCUGGUUUAAUUUACACACCCUAUGAGUAUCCCUAUACACUGGCACCAGCGACAUCAAUUCUUGAGUAUCCCAUUGAACCUAGUGGUGUAUUAGGUAUGGCUUUCCCAACGAAAGGCUAAGAAUUCAAGAACGGUCUUAACUGAACCCUCAUCAGAUCUGAAUUUAACAAAUGCUUAGUUUCAGCAGUCUUGAAAAAAUAGCCUAGCAGUCAGUGACUUACUUGCACUUUUUUUGCACAUAGAUAUAAAAUAAAAUAGUGCUAUUAAUUUGGUUUAGUCUCUAUUAUUACCAAAGUAGCUAUAAUUUAUGAGUGUAUAGUAGUAUACUGACUGCUAAGAGUUCUAUACUGUUUGCUUUACUAAUCACCUAAUUCAUUGCAGUUCAUACUUUAUUGACUUUAAAUUUAAAACCACAUCUGUAGGCAUGAAGAAUUGCUUUCAAACUUUUUCUAAUGGUAGAAACUGGAAGUGGUCGUAACGGUAGCAAAUUGUCAGUAUUAAAAAUGGCAUUAUUUGAAGUAGUGCUGCUGCAAAAAAAGGCACUUCAUUGAAUAUGUGACUAGUAAAGCUUAAAUAUUCUUGGAUCUAAUAGAUUUCAUGAAAUACUGUAAUUUUGGGAUUGCAAAUGAGUGGAUUAAAGAGAUAAGGCCAGGAUGUUUGAUAUAAAUGCAAUAUUAAUCUGCACAGAUAUAAUUCAUAUAUUAAGGUUAAGAUUUGAAACUACUGUGCCUUAACUAGUUGCUUUCUUAAAAUGAAUUUUUGUAGUAAAUGAUCACUUAAAUCCAUUUUGCUAAACCUGCUGUUAAUGUUUACCUUUGAAUGUUUUCUAACUUUGUCUUGGUAAUUGCAAUUUAACUAGGUGCGGUGGCUACUAAAGUUCGAAGGCACGAUAUGCGUGUCCAUCCUUACCAAAGGAUUGUGACCGCAGACCGAGAGCAGAAGGGGGGCACAACAGGACUUGGGAUGGAGUUUGCUGGCUGCUUUUUGGGAGUGGUGCGGGGCCAGGACAGGGGCAAGCCUGCCUUAGCCCCACUGCACCACCACCCAGGAGCCACCUGAGCCGCCACCGGCAACUAACCUAUGACCUUCUGACCUCUGAACUCUUCACCCAAUGAUGACCUGACCAUGCCUGCCUGCUGAUCAGUUAACUGGUAAUCGCCUUUGCUUGCCUGUCUUCAGUGCAGCGAGCUGAGGCACUUGUCCGUUCGUCUUACCAUCUAACAAAAAAGACAAAGAAAUUGUCCUCCAACUCAGCUUUUUUUUCCUGUUUGGGUGAAAGUGGUUCUAGAACCUGCACUGAAUAGUAGUAAAGCAAUAAGGUCCAAUUCAUCCCUCAGCACUGAUCGUCCUUUAGUAUCCCACCCUAAACGAACGGUAAGAAGGCCUCACUUAAGUGAUGGAGACAGAUGUCCCUUAACUACCCAAUGACAGAGGCAGUUACUGUGAGCGACUUCUAGGAAUCUUUUUCUUCUCAUAAUGAAGUCAAAGCUCUCUUUGAAUGUACUGUGUGAUGAUGCAUCAUGCAUGAACCUUUGGUCAGGGAUGUCAUUGGUGAAGGGAUUCCAAAAAGUAUUCAAAAUUUGACUUGCUGUUUAGUCACUACCAGUGCCGUCAAAGGGCAAAAGUUGCAGCCUUUUUUCUAUUGCCUGCCAAAUUGGAUGUUUUAAAAGAACGUGUGCCAUGAAAGAUAGAUUUCAAUGAAUUUUUACAACUAUGUUAAUGCAAAGAACAAAACAGCAACACUACGAAAGCAAAAUCUGAGUUAAGAUUACCUUAACCAUAUUUAAAUUUUCUUAAAAGAUUACACGAGAACAAGGUACAUGCAUUAUGUGUCACAUUACUGGGCAAACUGUUCAAAUAUUUUUUUAAACCUCCCUGUAUAGAAAAAUUUCAUUAAGGAUGUAAAAGCCAUGCUUGCCUAUUUGCUGUAUACAUGUAAUGAAAUUGUAGAUAAAGUGUAGUGCAUUGAAACAAAAUGAACAAAAAAGUAGAUACUUUUACUAUACAAGGGUGCUGGUGCAGAAAAAAUAUAUUUUUGGAAAUGUAGCAUUUUAUACUUUCAAGUGUUAUAAAAAAAGAAAAAAAGAACAAAGAAGAAACCCUUUAUUUCAUUAAAUAAUUUUUUCUGGUGGUUGUCAAGAAACAAAUGACCAAAAGAGCCUUUUUGUCUUUCUUUUUUAUUUUUUAAGUAUUGGAAUAAGUCUAAAGAAAAGGAAGUGCCUUAUUUUCUUCAUGGUCAUUUAGUCAAAUGUCUCGUAUAAUCCGCUCCUCCCUCAAACAACAAGUUAAUGCAUGCCACUUAGUCGCCCAGUAUGUGAAAAGAAGCUGGGAAAGGAAGACAAAUGAGUUGACCAUUUGAAAUACCUGAUUUUUGCCAUAUUAGCAUGAAGCAACUUUGCCAAAUCUUAUAAUGUGAAACAUGUGAUUAUUUUUCUAUCAGUUGAUAGCCCUCAUUAGUCUUGCAACAUUUUUACCAUCUCAAACCAUAGGUAAUGUAUGUUGUAUUUUGUAUACUUGCUCAAUCUAAACCAAAGCGUUUUGAUUCAUUCUAAAUGAGAGCAUUAGCUGACAAAUAUUUAUAGGACAGCAAGUGCUCCAUUUUGUUCAGGGGUUAGCAUGGAGCUUUCUUCAUUUGAAAUAUUGACAAGUAUAGCAGACCUUAUACUUAUCCACGGAAUAAAGUUUGGUGGAUAAUUAAAUUGAACUCAUUUAACUAAUUUUAAGUUUGACCUAUGCAUGUCCCAAAAAAAUUUACUCUAAAGAAAAGCAGAAGGGACUCAUCAACUAUUUAAAAAUUCAUCUAACUGGACCAGCAUACGAGCUGAGACAUUAUUUUGAAUAGUGUUGAAUUAGAAAAUAUUGAGCAAGUAUCAGUUUGCUAAUGGCUCAGUAUUAGACUUGGCAAAUAUCAGGUGAUGAUUUAUUUCCCCUCUUGUCAACUUAUUCUCCUUCUGAAAACCUUCAUAGCUUCCAAAUCAAAGGUCAAUAGUAAGCUAAGAAAGAGGGCUUAUGGUUUAGGCACCUGUAUGGUGACCUCAUUAACAUCUUGUCUCACCUGGAAAUAAUUAUCAGUUUAUUUACUAUGCAAUAGACAUUCAACCUUUUGUAUUCAGCUAGCUUGUGUUUAUCAUGCCACCAGCUUUGUCUUCCUGUUACACAUACAAUUGUUUUGAUUUUACUUACAGUAUAUAUGCUGUGCCAUUUUGAUUUUUGUUUGUUUGGUUUAAUAAACCUGCGACACUCAAACAUUUGAAGAGAUUUGCUAAAACAAUACCAGUAUUUGAUCCAGAUUAAUCUCAACUAUGAUAAGCCUGGAGUUUUAGAUGUUUAUCAAAGGGAGGAAAGUAAGUGAACGAAAUAGAAGUGUGACUUUAAUAGUAAUGUUUGCUUUGAAUGAACAUACUUUUGAAAACAUAGUUGACAAAAUUUUGGAUCAAAUUUUUUAAAAAAGCAUGACUUUUGAAAUCUCUGAAUGCCUUGGUUCUCAGUAUUAUAAUUCUUUAUUGAAUUUUUCUUUAUUAAAAUAUGUAGUUUUAGGACUUCUUUCUGACAGUAUUAUGUAAUUUUUUUUUAGAGUGGGUAGAUGGGAGUGUCGCUUGUAUGUAACAGUACAGAUGACAUGUAUUUGUCUAUUCUUUAUUAUCUUAGUAGUUUCAUGCUGUGUAUGUACCAUAACCAACCUAUUGCCUAUGAGAAACAUGUAAGAUAAUGUAUUUACAGCCAUUGUUACAAGUUUAUAAUGUAUUUUUCUAUCUUGUUUUAUAUGUAUGUUAUAUAAAACAUUCAAUUUUUUUCCUGAUUGAGAAAAAAAGGAUACAAAAAUGCAAAACCCACAAUUUUGAUAACUGAAAAUUGCCAAUUGUUUUGCAGUACUUUAUUAUAUUGGGAGUGUUGUCUUUUUUGGGCUUUUAGUUAGCUACUGGAUGAAUACAUUAGACAUAUUUGGGUUUUAGUUGGGUUUUUACAUAGCUUGCAUUUUAAUUCUUUGGUUCUUUGCUGUUUCUAUUAACCCAUAGCAUUAUUUUAAUAAAUGUUAUAAUACCAACCUACUAACUCUGGACUAUGUCUGUUUAUUAACCAUUACAUGUUUAAUUAAAAUAAACAAACAAAGACAGAAGAAUGUAAAGUCUUGAGUUACUGGACUAACCCUGAAGAACGUGACCACAGAUAACACAUGACUUGUAUUUAUGUUGUUUGUCGGCUGACAUUCUGCACACUACUAUUAAAUUGGCUUUGGUCAUUCUGGCCUUUACCUUGGGGAUAGGUGCCAGUAGAGGUGGGAACAAAGUAGCGUUAUUUGAAGCAUUAUUCUUGUAGUCUUGCCACUUGCCUUUCAGCAUCUGCAUUACUAAUUUCACACGUUACUUUCUCUUUCUCUAAAAUAAUCACUGUCAGCUCACAGCAAAAGAGCAAAGAUGCCAGUAUAUUGGUAAAUCGUGAUGGUGUACCCAGAAAAACCAGUUUGAUUCUUUGUUGAACCAUUUUGAAGUCACAGUAAAUCUCAUUGAGAUUUGCCAUUUGUUAUUUAAAGCACCUGAUUCAUUAUCACAUCUUUUAACUGUCUUCUGUUUUUUUAUGAACACAUGUUACUACUGGACUAUACUUUUUGUGUCUCUAAAGCAAGGAACCUGCUUUUCUUCUGAAACGUCACAGAUUUUUCUGACAGAUUACUUUAUUUCCUACUUGAUAUACAGUUUUUACUUUUUUGUUUUGUUUUGUUUUGUUUUGUUUGUGGAGGUGUGUGGUUUUUUGUUUGUUUUUGGGGGUUUUUUUGUACUACUUCUGUAGUCUGUCAUUACAACCAAGCUCAGGGGAGAAUAACUUCUGAAAAGCCAAAGGUCGAGCUUGAUCAUUUCCUAAUGACUACAGUAGGGAUUAGCAAUCUUCAGCAUAUGGCCCUUCGUGUUAAGCUGCUGGCAGUAUGUCAGACAUUUUAUUUUGACUAUCCACAGGCACAGCCAUGUGUCACUUCCUGCAGCUCCCAUUGGCAGGGGAACAGCAAACCAUGGCCACUGGAAGCUGUGGGGGACCGUGCCUGCGCACAGCCAACAUAAAAUGCCUAUCAACCUAACAAUGGCUUAACCUGCUGGGCUGUGCACUGAAGGUUGCCAACCCCAGACUACAGAAAGUACAAAAUGCUAAGGCUGUUGCACUGUGCCUCUGAGAAAUAGCCUUUUCAAUACAAGGAUUCUUUACCUCUGAUCUUUAACCCUGUGGACGACUGUAGCAACAUGAAUACGGGGAAUGUAAGUGAUGAAAAUGCAGUAGUAAAUUUUUGGUUUUGAACUUCUAUGCAAAUUACUUAAAGAGAAACUUGAUUUUUUUUAAUUUCUACUAGUUUGUAGCAUGGAUAGGGCUCCCAUAUUUGUGAUCUUAAAUGUACAAUAAUUUCCAGCCGGUGUCUGGUGAGAUGCCUUAAUGCACAUCACUUAUUUCUCAGAUAUUGACAAUUUUUAUUUCUCUGAACUACCACACUACUUGUCUGGGAAUAAAAAUUCAGGGAGGGAAUAGCAUCUGUUCAAAACUGUGAGGUUUUUUCCAUUUGUUAUGAUAAGUUUUAAUUUACACAUCUGAGUCCUUGAUAAAGUUUUUAUUUUAAAAAGUGAAAAGUUCUCAGUUAUUUUCAAAGAUUUAUAUUCUAAUUUGUCCAUUAAUUUGUUAGGUAUUUUGAUAUGCAAUUAGAUUUGUUAAUAUCAUUUACACAUCUAUUUUAAUUUACAUAGCUGUACAAAUGAAACUGUAAAAUAGAGAAAAUAGAUAUUUCUAGAACAAAUUGCAUUUGUACAAAAAACUUUUUGAGCUGUUCUCUUCUUCUGCUAUAAAUACUUUGCUAUCCAAAAAUUGAUUGAGACAGUAUAAAAAGUUUUAAGUAAUAUAACAUCAUAGCUAUGAAUUUACAGUUUUAUAGAAAAUGCGUAACAUGUUUAAAUAGUAAAGGCAUUUAAACUUUGAGGUGCCUAAAAAUUUGUUUAUACCUUCCUGGGAAGGACUUGUUUUCAUGGUUUUCAUUAUUUUUUAUUAUCUAUGAACUACUGUCCUACUUUUCCCAUAGAGUGGGUAUUUUCAUCUCAUUCUCAUUUAUGUAUAGUAAUGAACAUUUGCUCAGCAGACAACAGGGUUUUUUAAAAAAACUAAAGGAAAAUAAACCUUAAUAGUACAAUAACUCUCUCUACACAAAUUAAUGUUACUAUUGAGCAUGAAUGUAUUCUUCAUGUAACCAAAAAUCUUGUCAACUAUAAAAAGGCAACUAUUUAAGAUGAAUUUCUGGUGCUUGAGCUUGAUAACUAUACUUCAGUGUUGCUAUAUUUAAGUUUUUUGUAUGUUUAAUUCUGGAGGGGCAAAAUGUCUCAGAUUUUGAAAAAGACAUGUAUUACAGCAAAGCUACUGCACUGCAGUUCUUUCCAAUAAAAUGGAAUCAAUUUAAGUACAUUUUUAUUUACAUUUAAUUUACAUUUUAUGCAACUGUAAACAGAAGUAUAACACAACCCUUAAAUACAAUACUUCAGAAAAUCAACCGCUUAGAAAAUAAUUUUACUGCGUAUCAAAUCAAAAUAUGUUUGAUAGUCCCCACACACUUACUUAAAAUAGCUUUUGUGGAUAUAGUUAACCAGUUUAAAUUACUAAUUGGUAUUUACAGUUAUAGUAUUUACUAAUAUACUAUUUGAACAGAUCUUUUAACAAGUUAAUAUGUAAAAAUCCACUUACACAUAACAAAACUGUUUAAUUUCCAAAUCACAUCUUUUUUUUCUAUGGGGACCACAGGCAAGUUUUCUGCAUUGCAGAAUGCUCUAGGAAGUGCACACAGUAAAGUAUGUUGCUACCCAAUAAAAGAGAAUGCAGAAAAAAUUCAACUCUGAAACUUCAUGUAUCUGGAUAAUUAAACAGGCACUCUAAAUGGCACAUUGUACAUAAUGAAGUCCUUGUACUUUUUUUGCAAACAUUCCUGAGGUGCAAGUGUGAAAUUGUACUUGGAAUGCGUAUUUUAUUUUAAUAAUAUUUGAUACAAAAAUACAUUUUGUUUAAUAAUAUUUUAAUGGAAUACUGUUUUUUCAACUAAGUAGACAAAUUAUUACAUGGACGUGGUAAUCAAUGUUGAAUCAAACUGGUUAACUGCAAUGCAUUGGUCUCUUUCCUAUGUGCCUGCUCACUAAUUGUUGUGGUAUAGUUCCACAUUGGAGUGGGUGUCAUAAACACCAGAUGAUUACUUGCUGAAUUAGUUUCUUGGUCCCAGCAAUUUUGGUGUCCAUUACUGAUGAUAGACUGCAUUGGAAACAAUUUGAAUAGCAGGGGCAAUUUGUAUCUGAAAAACUAUUAAAGAAGACUUAAUAGAAAUAUAUAUCCUUUCCAACUUGUAUUGUAGCAGUUUGUGUGAAACAAGGUUUUGUUUGUGCAAAAUAAUGUAUUUUUAGGGGAAAAUGGACAUUGCCAAAACACAUGUAAAUACCAACACCUAGUAUGACUGUACAUGAUGUGCAAUAAAAUAACUGGAAAAAAGUGCAUGUACUUUAUCCUCAAAAGCCAGUUGGAAGCUAUCAAUGCUGCAACUAUAGUAUUAUUUUUCUGAAAAGUCACAUUUUAUUCUGUAUCUAAACAGCAGAAUAAAGAAUUUACAUUUUUCACACUUACUGUUCAUUAAUACUUUUAGAAAUGGUGCUUUUUGAAGUGAUUUAAAAUUUUGUCAUGAUUUGACUGCCUGAAAAUCACCUUUUUUGAAGAAUUAUUGUUGUAUUGCUUUGGUUACAACUAGAGGCAAGAAAAAGUUAAUGAGCACACAUUAUAUGCUUACUGCAUUCAUGCAACACCACAUCUGAAUUUGGAUUUGCAAGCACUCUAAAAUUAUGAGCAGCUUGGAUUCUUCCAAAUUAUUAAAAGAUUAUAGUUGCUUGAAUAUGGUAGUUUCUGAACCGUUAGUCAACGUAAAAGGGGACAGGCCAAUAUUAUUUAACUCCUACCACUAUGAAGUUAUAGCUCUGUAUAAUGACCAUAUACACUUAAAGGAAUGAUUUAUCACACUGGCAUCUAAAAAAUAUAUUUCUCACCAAAAAGGUCUCUGUCUUAAUAUUUUUCACUGAGUACAUCUACAAUCAUUUGAGUACAGUAUGAAAUGUGUAUAUUUGUGUAAAGGAAAAGCUGGUUCGGUACAACACCCAGGUUUUAUCUUAAACUUAAAACACGAGAGCUGCACAUCAGUCGUGCUUCAAUGUAGACCAUACCUACACCAGUAAGAGGGGUUCUCUGAUCUGUGCAGAUAAUCCACCUCCAAUAGAGGCAAUAGAAGAAUUCUUCCAUCGACUUAAUGGUGUCUACAGUGGAAGUUAGGGCAGCUCAUCUCCAUUCUGGUGUGGAUAUUUCAUACCCGUCUGGGAUGUAAUUAAAUCACCUUAAUUUUCUAAAGUAGACUAGGAUUCAGUUGGUGAAAUUGUGGUGCCCUGCCAAGAGGGGCAGCAUGAACUCACAACCAAGAGGGAUGUGGAAGAUAAAGGUGGUACCUCUCUGCUCUGUAGAUACCAGGUUGUUCCAGGAUCUGGAAAAGAUAAUGCCAACUACUAAGAUAGACCUGGGAUCAUGUCUUUAAAUCCUGUAAUGCUGCAGGCUUGCCCCUUCCUUAAGCCUGUGAGGCAACUUAGAGGCCAUCUCCUUUAGCUCCUACACAGAAGGAAUCCCUUGGGAAAUGCAUCAUUUUGGAUGGUCGUAGAUGCAGUAAGAAGUACUUAGAGUAGCAGCAUUUUGCUGUUUUAGGCUGUCCAAUAAAACUGAACAUGGAAGUUGAUGAGUGGAACGUAACUACCAAUAUAUUUUAUUGUACUGACUAGGAACAGUACUGUAUCAGUAAACCUCUGUCUCCUUUUAUUAGUGUUUUGGUAACUACACACAGUGCUGACCUAAUUCACUUUUCUGGAGUACUUCUGAAUACUGAAAGGAAUAAAGUUGUUAUAACUAUCUUGAUGGCUAAAAUAAUACUUGAAUCAUUUUCUGUGCGAAAUAAAGUGAAGCAUAAUGCCCCCCUUCUCAGUAAUCACUGCUUGUCAGAGAUGAGUGCCCUUCACUUUUUGCUGCUCUGGACUGCCAGGAAGAAGCACAAAGAACAAUUGUCCAUUUCCUUGUCAAUAUCUUCCCCAUAAGCUCAAAUAGUCAAGUGUGCUGCUGUUCUCUAUUGAGAUCUGUCUUCAUUAUGACAAAUGACAAGUUUGUGAGCCCCCCAAAAUCAUGCAAUUUCCUUAAAAAUCAUCAUGUAUUUUUAAAUUAUAUGGUUUGUGUUCUUUUUAUUUGCUUAGAUGUCUUUGAGGCUUUUUGGUUCACAUUUGAAGUUUCUUUGCUGCAGCCACAAAGAAAUUAAACCCAAAUAUAAAGUAGCAAGCUAAUAUUUCUACAAUACUUCAUAACUACAGGAGAAACAGCAGCUUCAAGAAAAUCAUCAGAUAUUUUGAAACUAAAAUUGAGACUUGUCAAUGCUUUGCUUUCAGGAGCUUGUCAGUAAGUGAAGAUUCACCUUUU
This is a non-coding RNA of Pelodiscus sinensis (Chinese soft-shelled turtle), 10439 nucleotides long. NCBI's taxonomy places the organism in Eukaryota, Metazoa, Chordata, Testudines, Trionychidae. The record is from RefSeq and is a predicted model, not a curated record.